CGGCGUGCCUAAUACAUGCAAGUCGAACGCUCUGUCCUCUACCGAAGGUGCUUGCACUGAAAGUUGAUUGACGUGAGUGGCGGACGGGUGACUAACACCUGGGUAACCUGCCCUUAAGCAGGGGAUAACAUUUGCAAACUAAUGCUGAUACCCCAUAGAAGUUGACAUCACAUGGGCUUAAUUUUAAAGACGGCCUCUGGCUGUCUCUUAAGGAUGGACCCGCGGCGUAUUAGCUAGUUGGUGAGAUAAUACCCCACCAAGGCGAUGAUACGUAUCCGACCUGAGAGGGCAAUCGGCCACAUUGAGACUGACACACGGCCCAAACUCCUACGGGAGGCAGCAGUAGGGAAUCUUCCACAAUGGACGAAAGUCUGAUGGAGCAACGCCUCGUGAGUGAAGAAGGUUCUCGGAUCGAAAAACUCUGUUGUUGGAGAAGAACAGGGACUAGAGUAACUGUUAGUCCUUUGACGGCAUCCAACCACAAAGCCACGGCUAACUACGUGCCAGCAGCCGCGGUAAUACCUAGGUGGCAAGCGUUGUCCGGAUUUAUUGGGCGUAAAGCGAGCGCAGGCGGUUUCUUAAGUUUGAUGUGAAAGCCUUCGGCUUAACCGAAGAAGUGCAUCAGAUACUGGGAAACUUGAGUGCAGAAGAGGAAAGUGGAACUCCAUGUGUAGCGGUGAAAUGCGUAGAUAUAUGGAAGAACACCAGUGGCGAAGGCGGCUUUCUGGUCUGUAACUGACGCUGAGGCUCGAAAGUAUGGGGAGCGAACAGGAUUAGAUACCCUGGUAGCCCAUACCGUAAACGAUGAAUGCUAAGUGUUGGAGGGUUUCCGCCCUUCAGUGCUGCAGCUAACGCAUUAAGCAUUCCGCCUGGGGAGUACGACCGCAAGGUUGAAACUCAAAGGAAUUGACGGGGGCCCGCACAAGCGGUGGAGCAUGUGGUUUAAUUCGAAGCUACGCGAAGAACCUUACCAGGUCUUGACAUCUAGCGCCAAUCCUAGAGAUAGGACGUUCCCUUCGGGGACGCUAAGACAGGUGGUGCAUGGUUGUCGUCAGCUCGUGUCGUGAGAUGUUGGGUUAAGUCCCGCAACGAGCGCAACCCUUAUGAUUAGUUGCCAGCAUUUAGUUGGGCACUCAAAUCAGACUGCCGGUGACAAACCGGAGGAAGGUG
Molecule: ribosomal RNA, 1170 nt
Filed under: uncultured bacterium
Lineage: Bacteria
Description: bacterial SSU rRNA
Rfam family: Bacterial small subunit ribosomal RNA
Source: RNAcentral